GCCCGGGUCGCUUAGCGGAAUAGCGAUGGCCUCGAGAGCCAUUGACCCACACGGGUCGCGUGGGUUCAAAUCCCACCCCGGGCG
Molecule: transfer RNA, 84 nt
Filed under: Candidatus Bathyarchaeota archaeon RBG_16_48_13
Lineage: Archaea; Thermoproteati; Candidatus Bathyarchaeota
Also listed under: 1 other name
Description: tRNA-Ser
Rfam family: tRNA
About the family: Transfer RNA (tRNA) molecules are approximately 80 nucleotides in length. Their secondary structure includes four short double-helical elements and three loops (D, anti-codon, and T loops).
Source: RNAcentral